Long non-coding RNA from Vespula vulgaris, 1311 nucleotides. RefSeq lists it as uncharacterized. The transcript is spliced from 2 exons. The record is from RefSeq and is a predicted model, not a curated record. Lineage: Eukaryota; Metazoa; Arthropoda; Insecta; Hymenoptera; Vespidae.
UCUUCUCUGAUCUAAGAUAUUAAGGAUUAAUCUUCUUUUUCUUUCAUUUUUCUUUUGAAAAAAAAAUUUUUUUUUAUAUCAUAAUAUAAUUAUCAAUCAAAUCAUUCUCCGCAGUAAUAGCAUUCUUUAUUAGAGCUAUACUUUUAAAACAAAUUUCUAAUCAAUUUACUGUGGUGCUAGUUAUAUUAAUUAUUUUUAACUAGGGAAGGAAGGAAAGGACGAGAGAGAGAGAGAGAGAGAGAGAGAGAGAGAGAGAGAGAGAGAGAGUAAAUUUUCCACGUUAAAAAGCGUGGCGUGUUGAAAUAUACGAUGUAUUAAAUAUCUACGAUGCAGGAGAAACAUCGGGGAACUAGUUUUCCAAAGUAAUGCAAUUCUAAUGUUAAAAAAAUCAUUCAACUUUCGCGUUAGAAAAUAAAAAAAAAACAAAAAGGAAAAAAAGAAACAAGACGAGCAUGAGUUUCUUCAAGUCCCAAGAGAAGAAGUUUCCACAAGACGGGUCUUUUCUCUCAGGAUGGUGGAAAAGGCCCUAAAGGAAUUUUCAAGCUUGUCACGUUCGUGGACUCACACCUACGAAAUUUCCACGUACUCGCGGUCGUUGAGUAUCCUGGCAGCUUUCAACGGCUUGGAAGCUCGCAUUUACGUUGAAACGAAAAGGCCUUAACAAGGAUGAACGUGGAAUGAGAGAAAAAGAAAGACAGAGAGAGAGAGAGAGAGAGAGAAAAUAAAAAAGAAAGACUGAAAGAAAGAAAGAAAGAAAGAAAGAAGGAAAGAGGAAACAGUCCAUUUGAGAUAACAUCUUUCUCUCUUUAAAUACUACACGACGAUGCGAUAUCUCGUUCGACCGUCAAUGCGUCUGGGUUAGCAGAAAAGCUUUCUCCAUUCGAAUUUCUUGUCUCUCGUAUUUCUCACGUGCAUCACAUUGAAUGUCUACACACGCAGAGGUAAUGUAAAGAAAAAACGUGAUGGAGAUAGAGAGAAAGAGGGAAGUACAUUGGUCUCUUCGACGUCGAACGCAUCUUCCAAAAGUAAACUCUGUGCGAAUCGGGACAAUACGGUAUAUAUAUAUAUAUAUAUAUAUAUAUAUAUAUAUAUAUAUAUAUAUGUAUAUCUUUAUCUUUAUCUUUUUCUCUCUAUCUCUGUUUAGUCGUUACGGUUCCCAAAGGACGAAUCCGGAGAUUAGUGUCGUGUUCUUCGGCGCUGACGUAACGCGACGCCCUGUUCAUCCUUUUCUCGCGAGGUAACACACUAGUUUCCCCUUCGCUUGUAUCCAGCAAACAUUGUUACUUAUCCGAUAUCCAAAGACCAAAGAAA